RNAcentral lists this ribosomal RNA (1429 nucleotides) under uncultured organism. RNAcentral's name for it is "SSU rRNA". It matches the Rfam family "Bacterial small subunit ribosomal RNA". The record is from RNAcentral.
ACACAUGCAAGUCGAGGGGCAGCAUGGUCUUAGCUUGCUAAGGCCGAUGGCGACCGGCGCACGGGUGAGUAACACGUAUCCAACCUGCCGUCUACUCUUGGACAGCCUUCUGAAAGGAAGAUUAAUACAAGAUGGCAUCAUGAGUCCGCAUGUUCACAUGAUUAAAGGUAUUCCGGUAGACGAUGGGGAUGCGUUCCAUUAGAUAGUAGGCGGGGUAACGGCCCACCUAGUCUUCGAUGGAUAGGGGUUCUGAGAGGAAGGUCCCCCACAUUGGAACUGAGACACGGUCCAAACUCCUACGGGAGGCAGCAGUGAGGAAUAUUGGACAAUGGGCGAGAGCCUGAACCAGCCAAGUAGCGUGAAGGAUGACUGCCCUAUGGGUUGUAAACUUCUUUUAUAAAGGAAUAAAGUCGGGUAUGGAUACCCGUUUGCAUGUACUUUAUGAAUAAGGAUCGGCUAACUCCGUGCCAGCAGCCGCGGUAAUACGGAGGAUCCGAGCGUUAUCCGGAUUUAUUGGGUUUAAAGGGAGCGUAGAUGGAUGUUUAAGUCAGUUGUGAAAGUUUGCGGCUCAACCGUAAAAUUGCAGUUGAUACUGGAUAUCUUGAGUGCAGUUGAGGCAGGCGGAAUUCGUGGUGUAGCGGUGAAAUGCUUAGAUAUCACGAAGAACUCCGAUUGCGAAGGCAGCCUGCUAAGCUGCAACUGACAUUGAGGCUCGAAAGUGUGGGUAUCAAACAGGAUUAGAUACCCUGGUAGUCCACACGGUAAACGAUGAAUACUCGCUGUUUGCGAUAUACUGCAAGCGGCCAAGCGAAAGCGUUAAGUAUUCCACCUGGGGAGUACGCCGGCAACGGUGAAACUCAAAGGAAUUGACGGGGGCCCGCACAAGCGGAGGAACAUGUGGUUUAAUUCGAUGAUACGCGAGGAACCUUACCCGGGCUUAAAUUGCAGAUGAAUUACGGUGAAAGCCGUAAGCCGCAAGGCAUCUGUGAAGGUGCUGCAUGGUUGUCGUCAGCUCGUGCCGUGAGGUGUCGGCUUAAGUGCCAUAACGAGCGCAACCCUUGCCGAUAGUUACUAACAGGUCAUGCUGAGGACUCUGUCGGGACUGCCAUCGUAAGAUGUGAGGAAGGUGGGGAUGACGUCAAAUCAGCACGGCCCUUACGUCCGGGGCUACACACGUGUUACAAUGGGGGGUACAGAGGGCUGCUACCACGCAAGUGGAUGCCAAUCCCAAAAACCUCUCUCAGUUCGGAUUGAAGUCUGCAACCCGACUUCAUGAAGCUGGAUUCGCUAGUAAUCGCGCAUCAGCCACGGCGCGGUGAAUACGUUCCCGGGCCUUGUACACACCGCCCGUCAAGCCAUGGGAGCCGGGGGUACCUGAAGUGCGUAAACGCAAGGAGCGCCCUAGGGUAAAACUGGUGACUGGGGCUAA